Molecule: non-coding RNA, 73 nt
Organism: Phrynosoma platyrhinos (Desert horned lizard)
Lineage: Eukaryota; Metazoa; Chordata; Lepidosauria; Squamata; Phrynosomatidae
Source: the annotation of a GenBank genome assembly
ACCAGUGUGGUGUAGUGGUUGGAGCAUUGGGACUACAACUCUGGAGACCAGGGUUCAAAUCCCUGCUCAGCCA